CGGCGCCGGCCUCCGUCGUCCCACCCGCCACCCGCCACGACCCAGCGGCGCAGACUGCGCAGUCCUCUCGCGAGUUGCGACCCUCGCCCAGUCCGUCAGUCGCCUACCUUCCCUUUGUUCCGCCCGAUUCCCAACUCCCUCUGUUCGACCCAGCCUCGCCGCCUCCGCCUCCGAGCUGCCACCAGACGCGCCGCCAGCCAUCCCCACUUCCAGGUACAAUACUUAUUCUUCUUCCUUUUUUUUAAUGACUCAAUCAAUGUGUAUUGUGCUUUGUUUUGUUUAGUUAAAUUGAUUUGCAACAUUUGCUUUGUUUAGAUUUUCAGCAAUGUGUCAUUGUGUAUACUCAAUGUGUAUUGUGCAGUGCAUUUGUUAUGUUCAAAUUUAGAUAAGCGAGUAAUUGAUUAAUUGAUUUGCUUUGUUUAUUGAUUGUUUUGCUAAACUCCCUCUGUUUUAGAUAAGCGAGUAAUAGAUUUGCUUUGUUUUUGCAACUCCCUCUGUUCGACCCAGCCUUUGCUUUGUUAAAUUGAUUUGCUUUGUUUAUUGAUUGUUUUGCUAAACUGAUUUGCUUUGUUUUGCUUUGCUAAUUUACUAAAUCAGUUUGGUAAAUCUAAGACAGCAUUUACUUAUUUUGUAGUUUACUAAUUUUCUUUAUAAAUUCAGUUUGACAGUUUCUAAAUGACUAAAUGAGUGUGUUUACUUAUUUUGUAGUUUGCUACAUUGUUAUGGAAUCUUCUCGCAAUAGUAAUCGAGUUGAGGAAGACGAUAUUGAUAUGAAUGAUGAUAUGGAUGAUGAUGGGUUAGAGGAUAUUCCUAUUGGCGAAGAUGGGGAAGCUAUAG
RNAcentral lists this long non-coding RNA (837 nucleotides) under Salvia miltiorrhiza (redroot sage). RNAcentral's name for it is "long non-coding RNA (SMIL_LNC005061)". Lineage: Eukaryota; Viridiplantae; Streptophyta; Magnoliopsida; Lamiales; Lamiaceae. The record is from RNAcentral.